CAGUGCAAAAGGUUACGACAGCCAGGAACACAGUUUUAAUCACCCUUUGUUUCAAACGUGGAUGCUAUGUGCAGCACAAAGUUUUUGUCUGAUUGGAGUACCGAUCUUAAGAAGACGAGCAAAAGAACAAACAAUACAGGUAGUGAAUAAAAAGCAGAACGACACGCUUCUUAAAAUACAAGAAGGACCAUCGACCAAUGCAAGGUAUUUUGUAAUUUUAUUUUGUUCUUAAAAGGGA
Molecule: long non-coding RNA, 238 nt
Organism: Ruditapes philippinarum (Manila clam)
Lineage: Eukaryota; Metazoa; Mollusca; Bivalvia; Venerida; Veneridae
Exons: 3
Source: RefSeq, a predicted model, not a curated record